UAGGGAACCAAACUUGCUCGACGAUUCUCGUCUCCUCCUCCGGCGUUUUUCCUUCGUUUUAACCUUGCUUCGUCCCUCGCUGCUCUCGGCUUGCCUUCUCGUCUCCCCACCCCGAGGAAAAUUCAAUCCAAAUCCAAUGGCGGCUUCUGUGAAGGAUGUCCUGGGCGAUCUCGACCGGGACUCGUACGUCUCCCUCCUGGCUAAGAUCGUGGGCGAGGCGCGCCACGUCCAGAACAACCCCCCGGACCUCAUCCCCAAAGAGGACCGCGUCGCCCGCCACGUCCUCGACGCCCUCCUCCCCCUCAGCACCUCCACCGGCGGAGGUCCCCUCAUCGUCUCCCAUGUCGUCUACGCCGAAGGCCGCGGCAACGUCAUCGUCGAGUACCCCGGCUCCGCCCCCGGGAAAAUCCUCUCGUUCGUCGGCUGCCACAUGGACGUCGUCUCCGCCAACCCCAACGACUGGGACUUUGAUCCCUUCUCGCUGAGCGUGGACGGGGACAAGCUUCGGGGCCGGGGGACGACGGAUUGCCUCGGGCACGUGGCGCUCGUGACUGAGCUGAUGCGGCGGCUGGGGCAGACCAGGCCGGAGCUCAAGAACACCGUUGUCGCGGUGUUCAUCGCCAAUGAGGAGAACUCGUCGGUGCUGGGGAUCGGCGUCGAUGCCCUGGUCAAGGACGGGUUGCUCGAUAAAUUAAAGGCAGGACCUUUAUUUUGGAUUGAUACGGCUGACAAGCAACCGUGUAUUGGUACUGGGGGAAUGAUAGCAUGGAAGCUCCGAGCCACAGGGAAGCUUUUCCACAGCGGUCUUGCACACAAGGCUAUCAACCCGUUGGAGUUAGCCAUGGAAGCACUUAAAGAGAUUCAGUCACGAUUUUAUAGAGACUUCCCUCCACAUCCUAAGGAAGAGGUUUAUGGCUUUGCCACACCAUCAACUAUGAAACCAACUCAAUGGAGUUAUCCUGGAGGUGGUGUCAAUCAGAUUCCAGCAGAGUGUACUAUAUCAGGGGAUGUAAGGUUAACUCCUUUCUACAACCCAACAGAUGCAGUCAAGAAAUUACAAGAGUAUGUAGAUGAGAUAAAUGCCAACAUAGAGAAGCUAGAUUCACGUGGACCAGUGUCAAAAUAUGUACUUCCAGAUGAAAAUCUGAGAGGAAGGCUUACAAUCACUUUUGAUGAGGCUGUGACGUCUGGGGUUGCUUGUAAUCUUGAUUCUUGUGGCUUUCAUGUCUUAUGUAAAGCAACUGAGGAAGUGGUUGGCUAUGUGAAGCCCUACUCGAUCACAGGAAGUUUGCCAUUGAUUCGAGAGUUACAGGAUGAGGGUUUUGAUGUGCAAACUUCUGGAUAUGGUCAGGGAUUAGCAUGGAGUCGCCAUCUAUCUUUUACAGAAAUUUGAGAGGAGAGGUUGUGACUGGUGGUUUACUCAAAUCGCCUCCUCAAAUGGGUCUUUAUUAGCCUUUGGGUUUUUUCAGAAUGUAUAUGAAAUUGAGGUGUAACUGGUACAUGUCAAGGAAGAGGGAAUUCUAUGUACGAAGGAAGUGAAGUAGGUAAAGGUGGACAAACAAAUGCUAAGAGAAGUGGCGGUGGGGCUUUCUUGCAACUUGCACACUUAUAGUUAGGUUCAUCUCCUUGAUAUUGGAUCGUUGGCAGUUAGGCUUAUGUCAUCCUAAAUUAGUUUUCCAAACAAAGGCAUAAUGGCUACAUACCAUGCAAGGAAUGAGUACUGCCUAUUUUCUGAUAUGUGCCAAGGUUUCCAUGUGUUCGUGAGCAUCAUCUCCCAAUUGGAAGAAGAUAGCAACUGACAGAUCCACUUGUU
RNA transcript from Phoenix dactylifera (date palm), 1813 nucleotides. It is a transcript of the gene named Peptidase M20/M25/M40 family protein, with no coding region annotated. Lineage: Eukaryota; Viridiplantae; Streptophyta; Magnoliopsida; Arecales; Arecaceae. The record is from RefSeq and is a predicted model, not a curated record.